GUUUAGAUAGUUUAAUAAGAAUAAUAAUUUGUGAUGUUAUAGGUGUAAAAAUUACUCUAAAUC
Molecule: transfer RNA, 63 nt
Filed under: Leptocoris augur
Lineage: Eukaryota; Metazoa; Arthropoda; Insecta; Hemiptera; Rhopalidae
Description: tRNA-His
Source: RNAcentral